Molecule: ribosomal RNA, 707 nt
Filed under: uncultured Lachnospiraceae bacterium
Lineage: Bacteria; Bacillati; Bacillota; Clostridia; Lachnospirales; Lachnospiraceae
Description: bacterial SSU rRNA
Rfam family: Bacterial small subunit ribosomal RNA
Source: RNAcentral
ACACAUGCAAGUCGAACGAAGCGCUUAAAUGGAUUUCUUCGGAUUGAAGUUUUUGUGACUGAGUGGCGGACGGGUGAGUAACGCGUGGGUAACCUGCCUCAUACAGGGGGAUAACAGUUAGAAAUGACUGCUAAUACCGCAUAAGCGCACAGUGCUGCAUGGCACAGUGUGAAAAACUCCGGUGGUAUGAGAUGGACCCGCGUCUGAUUAGCUAGUUGGUGGGGUAACGGCCUACCAAGGCGACGAUCAGUAGCCGGCCUGAGAGGGUGAACGGCCACAUUGGGACUGAGACACGGCCCAAACUCCUACGGGAGGCAGCAGUGGGGAAUAUUGCACAAUGGGGGAAACCCUGAUGCAGCGACGCCGCGUGAGCGAAGAAGUAUUUCGGUAUGUAAAGCUCUAUCAGCAGGGAAGAAAAUGACGGUACCUGACUAAGAAGCACCGGCUAAAUACGUGCCAGCAGCCGCGGUAAUACGUAUGGUGCAAGCGUUAUCCGGAUUUACUGGGUGUAAAGGGAGCGUAGACGGUUGUGUAAGUCUGAUGUGAAAGCCCGGGGCUCAACCCCGGGACUGCAUUGGAAACUAUGUAACUAGAGUGUCGGAGAGGUAAGCGGAAUUCCUAGUGUAGCGGUGAAAUACGUAGAUAUUAGGAGGAACACCAGUGGCGAAGGCGGCUUACUGGACGAUCACUGACGUUGAGGCUCGAAA